UGAGAUCAGCUCAACCCAGUCAUUCAGAGACUCCAGACAACUGAGGCAGCCUUCACCUUAUAGUGCAGAUGUAACUCCUAAAACAACUUGAGACAACCAUCAAAUCAAACCUCAGUAUAUUUUCCACAGUCUCACCCUUGGCCAGACUAGCCAGAAGAACCUAGAAGUGUAGAGGAAAAUUUUUUCCUCCCCUACAGUUGCGAUGAGGAUGGGAGACAACUUAACUGGCUGGACACAGCUUGCUCUGGAACUGCUGCAGCUGAGAGAUGCUGGACCUCUGACAAGAACUGUAGCGUGUCCCGUCUCACUGGUGUCUCUCC
This is a long non-coding RNA of Diceros bicornis minor, 320 nucleotides long. RefSeq lists it as uncharacterized. The transcript is spliced from 4 exons. The record is from RefSeq and is a predicted model, not a curated record. Lineage: Eukaryota; Metazoa; Chordata; Mammalia; Perissodactyla; Rhinocerotidae.